RNAcentral lists this ribosomal RNA (311 nucleotides) under uncultured eukaryote. RNAcentral describes it as "partial 18S ribosomal RNA". It matches the Rfam family "Eukaryotic small subunit ribosomal RNA", at positions 1470 to 1796 of the family's 1831-position model. The record is from RNAcentral.
CCCUUAGAUGUUCUGGGCUGCACGCGCGCUACACUGAUGCGCUCAACGAGUUUUAACCUUGCCUGGAAAGGUUGGGUAAUCUUUUUAAAACGCAUCGUGAUGGGGAUAGAUUAUUGCAAUUAUUAAUCUUCAACGAGGAAUUCCUAGUAAGCGCGAGUCAUCAGCUCGUGCUGAUUACGUCCCUGCCCUUUGUACACACCGCCCGUCGCACCUACCGAUUGAAUGGUCCGGUGAAGUCUCCGGACUGAGUACUUUUAGUACUUGGGAAGUUGACUAAACCUUACUAUUUAGAGGAAGGUGAAGUCGUAACA